ACUUAAAAACAUCUGCAGAUUCUGCAGAGCGCAGGGAUAUCGGCAGAGUGUUCCAGAGCCUAGGGGCUACAGGCUCUGUCACCGCGAGUGCUGAGUGCCGCCACGAGCCCCUAGUGCUUUUUCCCUAUCGCUGCCACACUGCCUCACUCUCUACCUGGAUUUAUUCACCAGCCUCCACCUCUAUUCCUCACGCCUUGGACCCUGGAUCCCUUCCCUGCUCCCUUUGUUCCAUACAAUAAAUUCACUGAACUG
Molecule: long non-coding RNA, 252 nt
Organism: Notolabrus celidotus (New Zealand spotty)
Lineage: Eukaryota; Metazoa; Chordata; Actinopteri; Labriformes; Labridae
Exons: 2
Source: RefSeq, a predicted model, not a curated record